RNAcentral lists this ribosomal RNA (712 nucleotides) under Eiseniella tetraedra. RNAcentral describes it as "partial large subunit ribosomal RNA". The stretch from base 308 to 712 matches the Rfam family "Eukaryotic large subunit ribosomal RNA", at positions 665 to 1034 of the family's 3401-position model. The record is from RNAcentral. Lineage: Eukaryota; Metazoa; Annelida; Clitellata; Crassiclitellata; Lumbricidae.
UGCGGCGGCCGUACUUUCGGCGGGCGGAGCGCCACGACCGGUUCGUCGGCGGCGAGAAACUCCCGGGCAAGGUGACCUUCGUCUCGGCGCAGGAGCAUACAGGCCCGGUGAGCGUCGGCCCGUCGGUGGACCGAGGAAGACCGUCGCGGAGCGGCGUCGACCGUUCGUCGUGUGUUGGCGUUCGACUCGGGGGGACUGGUUCCAGUGCCCUCGGACCGCGCCGGCGCAGCGGCGGGCGCGCACGGCGUCGCGCCUGGGGUCGGUGGCGAAACGGCCGGCAACCUGUCCGACCCGUCUUGAAACACGGACCAAGGAGUCUAACAUGUGCGCGAGUCGUUGGGCGCUACGAAACCCGAAGGCGCAAUGAAAGUGAAGGCCCGGUCUCCGGCCGGCCUGGGUGGGAUCCCGGCGGUCUCGGCCGUCGGGCGCACCACCGGCCCGUCUCGUUCGUUACGUCGAGGAGGCGGAGCAAGAGCGUACACGUUGGGACCCGAAAGAUGGUGAACUAUGCCCGAGUAGGACGAAGCCAGAGGAAACUCUGGUGGAGGUCCGCAGCGAUUCUGACGUGCAAAUCGAUCGUCAAACUUGGGUAUAGGGGCGAAAGACUAAUCGAACCAUAUAGUAGCUGGUUNCUGUCGAAGUUUCCCUCAGGAUAGCUGGCGCUCGUCGUGAGCAGUUUUAUCCGGUAAAGCGAAUGACUGGAGGCCUUGGG